CCUGCGGAAGGAUCAUUGUCGAAACUUGCAAUAGCAGCAUGACUUGAGAACUUGUACAAAAGACGAGCGUUGGGUCCAGUUUUAUUGGUCCGGCCUCGAGGAACAAAAACUCCGGCGCAGUGGCGCCAAGGAAUUUCAUAAUUAGAUUGCCAGCUCGCAAGGCUUGAUUCUAGCGCUUGUGGCGGGCGUCUGUUUUAAAAAAAGACUCUUGGCAAUGGAUAUCUCGGCUCUUGCAUCGAUGAAGAACGUAGCGAAAUGCGAUACGUGGUGUGAAUUGCAGAAUCCCGUGAACCAUCGAAUCUUUGAACGCAAGUCGCGCCUGCAGCCAAUUAGGCCAAGGGCACGUUUGCUUGGGUGUCAUGCAUUUUGUCGUCCCGCUCAUGUUUUUCGGGUGGGAGUGGACCAUGGCCUCCCGGGCCCGUCCUCGGGCGUGGUUGGCUGAAAUUCUCGUGCUUGAUAAUUGAACGAUGCAUUGGCGUGUGGUGGAUGUGCUGCUUGUGCAUUGAGCCGCGCCUCUUGCAGCUCGAUUGCGGCGUUAGACCCUUCGGAGCCGGUAGCGCCGGCUCUUCGAUGUGACCCCA
Molecule: ribosomal RNA, 581 nt
Filed under: Cuscuta leptantha
Lineage: Eukaryota; Viridiplantae; Streptophyta; Magnoliopsida; Solanales; Convolvulaceae
Description: eukaryotic LSU rRNA
Rfam family: 5.8S ribosomal RNA (bases 204-360)
Source: RNAcentral